Molecule: long non-coding RNA, 291 nt
Filed under: Gouania willdenowi (blunt-snouted clingfish)
Lineage: Eukaryota; Metazoa; Chordata; Actinopteri; Blenniiformes; Gobiesocidae
Description: lncRNA (ENSGWIG00000001098.1)
Source: RNAcentral
GUGAAAGAGUCCUUGGGACAGCAGGACUCCUUUGUUUUGACUGAUAGUCAGGGCAACAGAAUAUGUGAUUCUGAUGGAACAAGAGGGUCAGCAUUUUGGAAACAAAGUACCAGAAAAAUAUUUGCUGUGCCAGAAGAACAGAUGGAGCUGUUACAGCCGACAAGAAGAUGCUGGAUUCCAAGACGUGAUUGCAAAUAUUGAAGAAGUUGUCGAAGCAGCUCAAGGACUUAAAGACGUGUCCCAAAUGAUCAGGGAAUUCUCUGGUUUUACCCAUAACACGCUCACAACCAC